This 403-nucleotide ribosomal RNA is filed under the name uncultured Eubacteriales bacterium. RNAcentral describes it as "uncultured Clostridiales bacterium partial 16S ribosomal RNA". It matches the Rfam family "Bacterial small subunit ribosomal RNA", at positions 355 to 774 of the family's 1533-position model. Lineage: Bacteria; Bacillati; Bacillota; Clostridia; Eubacteriales. The record is from RNAcentral.
UGGGGAAUAUUGCGCAAUGGGGGAAACCCUGACGCAGCAACGCCGCGUGAAGGAUGAAGGUCUUCGGAUUGUAAACUUUUGUCUUUAGGGAAGAAUUUUGACGGUACCUAAGGAGGAAGCUCCGGCUAACUACGUGCCAGCAGCCGCGGUAAUACGUAGGGAGCGAGCGUUGUCCGGAAUUACUGGGUGUAAAGGGUGCGUAGGCGGGUAUGCAAGUCAUAUGUGAAAUACCGGGGCUCAACUCCGGAACUGCAUAAGAAACUGUAUAUCUUGAGUGCAGGAGAGGUAAGUGGAAUUCCUAGUGUAGCGGUGAAAUGCGUAGAUAUUAGGAGGAACACCAGUGGCGAAGGCGACUUACUGGACUGUUACUGACGCUGAGGCACGAAAGCGUGGGGAGCAAACA